UGAGGAACAUGACUUUCGGCGGGGGAUAGCCGGCCCAACGGCCGGGUAAUACCGCGUACGACCUUUUGGGGACAUCCCCGAUUGGUGAAAGCAGCAAUGCGCCGAAAGAGUGCCUCGCGGCCUAUCAGCUAGUUGGUGAGGUAACGGCUCACCAAGGCGACGACGGGUAGCUGGUCUGAGAGGAUGGCCAGCCACAUUGGGACUGAGACACGGCCCAGACUCCGUAGGGAGCAGCAGG
RNAcentral lists this ribosomal RNA (238 nucleotides) under uncultured bacterium. Its description in RNAcentral is "partial 16S ribosomal RNA". It matches the Rfam family "Bacterial small subunit ribosomal RNA", at positions 118 to 354 of the family's 1533-position model. The record is from RNAcentral.